Molecule: non-coding RNA, 968 nt
Organism: Oryctolagus cuniculus (rabbit)
Lineage: Eukaryota; Metazoa; Chordata; Mammalia; Lagomorpha; Leporidae
Source: RefSeq, a predicted model, not a curated record
GUAUUCAAACAAUACUUUAUACUUUGUGUGGGUGCAAAUUGUUGAAAUCUUUACUUAGUAUAUACUAAGUUGAUCUUCUGUACAUAAAGAUAAUUAAAAAUGAAUCUUAAUGAAGAAUGGGAUGGGAGAGGGAGUGGAAGAUGGGAUGGUUGCGGGUGGAAGGGUGGUUGGGGGGGGGGGAACCGCUAUAAUCCAAAAGUUGUACUUUUGGAAAUUAUAUUUAUUAAAUAAAGUUUAAAAAUAAGUAAAUAAAUAUAUAGAUUUCACACACACACACAAAGAGUCCUGCUAUUGUCUGAGCUUGUACAGUGAUCAAGGAGACAUUAUGAAUCUCAAAGUAGGGAUCAUGCAGAAGAAACCCGUCAGAAACCAAAGUACGACUUAUCCAACUAGAUCUGUGAAUCAGGAAUCAGGGACCUGGACAAUGUCAAUCAGCCAGCAUGGAAGAGUACCACAUUUUCAUGCAGCUGAAAAUGAAGUACCAGUAGAGGCAUCCCACACUGCCUUAACUACCUCCACAAAGUCAGCCACAACAAGCUGGAGACAAAGGAUUCCAACACAGACGUGUCUAAUGUAAAUGCUGCUGGAUGGGUUCAUGCCUUUUUCUUCUCUGCUAACAGUUAUGUGUGACAUCGUGUCUGAAUCCCAGAAAACAGAAUGUGAAUAGAAGUGAUGGGAGUCAUUUGUGGUCUGUACAAAUUAUCAUCUGCAAACCUCUUAUUUCAAAGAUCUGGAAUAAGGUAAAACUACAAUGGGAAGGAUCACUCCCCAGAUCACUCCCUGGAGAACCUUCCGACACUGCUGGCCUGCUUUGGACUCUUGACCUGGGCCAUGAAUGAGAAAUAAAUCUGCUGUGCUAUUCCACUGAGAUUUGGGGGUUUAUCUAACAGCUGGCAUUAUUUACCUUAACUAAUACAUCCACUUACUUCUCAGUCAUAGAUCAAAGUUUCUUCCAAAAACUCUUUUCU